This 791-nucleotide ribosomal RNA is filed under the name Salmonella enterica. RNAcentral describes it as "partial 23S ribosomal RNA". It matches the Rfam family "Bacterial large subunit ribosomal RNA", at positions 477 to 1269 of the family's 2925-position model. Lineage: Bacteria; Pseudomonadati; Pseudomonadota; Gammaproteobacteria; Enterobacterales; Enterobacteriaceae. The record is from RNAcentral.
UGACUGACCGAUAGUGAACCAGUACCGUGAGGGAAAGGCGAAAAGAACCCCGGCGAGGGGAGUGAAAAAGAACCUGAAACCGUGUACGUACAAGCAGUGGGAGCACCCUUUGGGUGUGACUGCGUACCUUUUGUAUAAUGGGUCAGCGACUUAUAUUCUGUAGCAAGGUUAACCGAAUAGGGGAGCCGGAGGGAAACCGAGUCUUAACCGGGCGUUAAGUUGCAGGGUAUAGACCCGAAACCCGGUGAUCUAGCCAUGGGCAGGUUGAAGGUUGGGUAACACUAACUGGAGGACCGAACCGACUAAUGUUGAAAAAUUAGCGGAUGACCUGUGGCUGGGGGUGAAAGGCCAAUCAAACCGGGAGAUAGCUGGUUCUCCCCGAAAGCUAUUUAGGUAGCGCCUCGUGAAUUCAUCUCCGGGGGUAGAGCACUGUUUCGGCUAGGGGGCCAUCCCGGCUUACCAACCCGAUGCAAACUGCGAAUACCGGAGAAUGUUAUCACGGGAGACACACGGCGGGUGCUAACGUCCGUCGUGAAGAGGGAAACAACCCAGACCGCCAGCUAAGGUCCCAAAGUCAUGGUUAAGUGGGAAACGAUGUGGGAAGGCCCAGACAGCCAGGAUGUUGGCUUAGAAGCAGCCAUCAUUUAAAGAAAGCGUAAUAGCUCACUGGUCGAGUCGGCCUGCGCGGAAGAUGUAACGGGGCUAAACCAUGCACCGAAGCUGCGGCAGCGACACUGUGUGUUGUUGGGUAGGGGAGCGUUCUGUAAGCCUGUGAAGGUGUGUCGUGAGGC